This 204-nucleotide ribosomal RNA is filed under the name uncultured Bacillus sp. RNAcentral describes it as "partial 16S ribosomal RNA". It matches the Rfam family "Bacterial small subunit ribosomal RNA", at positions 626 to 829 of the family's 1533-position model. Lineage: Bacteria; Bacillati; Bacillota; Bacilli; Caryophanales; Bacillaceae. The record is from RNAcentral.
UUGGAAACUGGGGGACUUGAGUGCUGGAGAGGGGAGUGGAAUUCCCCGUGUAGCGGUGAAAUGCGUAGAUAUGUGGAGGAACACCAGUGGCGAAGGCGGCUUUCUGGACCGUAACUGACGCUGAGGCGCGAAAGCGUGGGGAGCAAACAGGAUUAGAUACCCUGGUAGUCCACGCCGUAAACGAUGAGUGCUAGGUGUUGGGGG